Molecule: ribosomal RNA, 253 nt
Filed under: uncultured bacterium
Lineage: Bacteria
Description: partial 16S ribosomal RNA
Rfam family: Bacterial small subunit ribosomal RNA
Source: RNAcentral
UACGGAGGGGACUAGCGUUGUUCGGAAUUACUGGGCGUAAAGCGCACGUAGGCGGAUUUGUAAGCCAGGGGUGAAAUCCCGGGGCUCAACCCCGGAACUGCCUUUGAUACUGCAAAUCUCGAGUCCGGAAGAGGUGAGUGGAAUUCCUAGUGUAGAGGUGAAAUUCGUAGAUAUUAGGAAGAACACCAGUGGCGAAGGCGGCUCACUGGUCCGGUACUGACGCUGAGGUGCGAAAGCGUGGGGAGCAAACAGG